AUUCCUACGGGAGGCAGCAGUGGGGAAUAUUGGGCAAUGGGCGCAAGCCUGACCCAGCAACGCCGCGUGAAGGAAGAAGGCUUUCGGGUUGUAAACUUCUUUUCUGAGGGACGAAGGAAGUGACGGUACCUCAGGAAUAAGCCACGGCUAACUACGUGCCAGCAGCCGCGGUAAUACGUAGGUGGCAAGCGUUAUCCGGAUUUAUUGGGUGUAAAGGGCGUGUAGGCGGGAAUGCAAGUCAGAUGUGAAAACUAUGGGCUCAACCCAUAGCCUGCAUUUGAAACUGUAUUUCU
This 293-nucleotide ribosomal RNA is filed under the name uncultured bacterium. Its description in RNAcentral is "partial 16S ribosomal RNA". It matches the Rfam family "Bacterial small subunit ribosomal RNA", at positions 335 to 642 of the family's 1533-position model. The record is from RNAcentral.